Molecule: ribosomal RNA, 1012 nt
Filed under: Drosophila melanogaster (fruit fly)
Lineage: Eukaryota; Metazoa; Arthropoda; Insecta; Diptera; Drosophilidae
Source: RNAcentral
AUAUUCAGGUUCAUCGGGCUUAACCUCUAAGCAGUUUCACGUACUGUUUAACUCUCUAUUCAGAGUUCUUUUCAACUUUCCCUCACGGUACUUGUUUACUAUCGGUCUCAUGGUUAUAUUUAGUGUUUAGAUGGAGUUUACCACCCACUUAGUGCUGCACUAUCAAGCAACACUGACUCUUUGGAAACAUCAUCUAGUAAUCAUUAACGUUAUACGGGCCUGGCACCCUCUAUGGGUAAAUGGCCUCAUUUAAGAAGGACUUAAAUCGCUAAUUUCUCAUACUAGAAUAUUGACGCUCCAUACACUGCAUCUCACAUUUGCCAUAUAGACAAAGUGACUUAGUGCUGAACUGUCUUCUUUACGGUCGCCGCUACUAAGAAAAUCCUUGGUAGUUACUUUUCCUCCCCUAAUUAAUAUGCUUAAAUUCAGGGGGUAGUCCCAUAUGAGUUGAGGUUGUAUAUAACUUUAUCUUGCCAUAAAUUCUUUAUAUAUAAUGAGAAACAUUUAAUUAAAUUCGUUAUAACAUUUUUAUUAAUUCUUGUAUGCAAAGUUUUUAUUUAUCCAUUUUUAACGAACCAACGAAGAAUAAUAACAUAACCAAGAUUUUUCUAUUUCCGAAUCAUUAAUAAGAGACAAUUCUAGAUGAAAAAUAUGGGGGGGUUUUUAUGCUAGACAUUUCUCAGUAUUAUUUGAUUGAAAAAGAAAAUAUUUCUCUUCGUUUUUCACAUUCAAAUGUGAGAUAAUGUUUUUCAUUUAUUUUUUAAUAUUAUGAAUAAAAAUUAUUAUAUUUAUCCAAUAAUAUACCAUAUGCUUAUAAAAAUUUAUAAGCAACUUAAUUAGCAUAGUCUUACAACCCUCAACCAUAUGUAGUCCAAGCAGCACUAUAAAAUUAAUUAAAGUACAUAACAGCAUGGACUGCGAUAUGCGUUCAAAAUGUCGAUGUUCAUGUGUCCUGCAGUUCACACGAUGACGCACAGUUUGCUGCGUUCUUCAUCGACCCAUGAGCCGAGUG